AUUCAGCUGACGAGUCCCAAAUAGGAAGAAAUGCGAAUCCUGGAU
RNAcentral lists this non-coding RNA (45 nucleotides) under Trichobilharzia regenti. The record is from RNAcentral. Lineage: Eukaryota; Metazoa; Platyhelminthes; Trematoda; Strigeidida; Schistosomatidae.